ACUAUUUUUUUCUAAUUAUUACUUUUAAAUAUAUAAAUUUUAUAAUGAAAAAACUAGUGUAGUUACAGUUUCCAUCUUUAUCUUCGCCUCUAAAACGAAGCUAACGUGUUCACUUCCUUUCCGAUUGGAAGUCUCCUAGUGGCAUUGUAUAACGUUAAUCGUAAUUCAACCACAACGUUAAGAUGUCAGGAGGUUUAGAAGUGUUAGCUCUCAAAGAGGACGAUGUAACCAAAAUGCUGGCUGCAUGCACUCAUUUAGGUGCAGAAAAUGUAAAUUUCCAGAUGGAACAGUAUGUGUAUAAAAAGAGAGUCGAUGGUGCAGGUGUUAAUGUUAUCAAUCUUCGUCACACAUGGGAAAAAUUAUUAUUGGCUGCACGUGCUGUGGUUGCUAUUGAGCAUCCUAGCGAAGUAUCUGUUAUCAGUUGUCGUCCAGCUGGACAAAGAGCAGUUUUGAAAUUCGCAGCUCAUACUGGUGCUACUCCUAUUGCUGGACGUUUUACGCCCGGUGCAUUCACUAAUCAAAUUCAGGCUGCUUUCCGGGAGCCACGUUUACUCAUCGUAACUGAUCCAGCUACUGAUCACCAACCUAUUACUGAAGCCAGCUAUGUGAACAUUCCUGUUAUUGCAUUUUGCAAUACUGAUUCGCCUUUACGUUUUGUCGACAUUGCUAUUCCCUGCAAUACUAAGAGUUUCCAUAGUGUUGGUCUUAUGUGGUGGCUUCUUGCCAGAGAAGUUUUACGACUAAGAGGUUCCAUCCCACGUGAAACCAAAUGGGAUGUUGUCGUUGAUUUAUUCUUUUAUAGAGAUCCCGAAGAGGCUGAGAAAGAAGAACAAGCAGCAAAAGAAAUUGCACCGGCUAAGGAAUUCGUGGCUCCUGUUGAAGCCACAACUACAGCAGAACCUGGUUGGGCUAAUGAAGUUGACGCUGAUGCUGUACCUGCUGAAAAUUGGGCAGAUGAAGUAGCAGCACCAGCACCAGCAGCAAUUCCUGCUGCUACUGCUGCACCAGCGUUCCAAACCGGUGGUGAUUGGGCGUCCCAAGCAACUGAGGAAUGGUCUACUACACCAUCUGCUACUGUUCAAAGUUGGGGAGGUGCAACCACUGAAAAAUGGAUACUGUUCUACAUGAACUCCCAUGGCCUGGUGAAUCAAACAACGAUGAUAUGGAUAAUCUGGAAUCAACUUGUAAUAACAUUCCUAAACAUAUAUCCUCGGAUUUAAUAACUCUACCUUUUAUAUGUGUUCUAUCAUUUAUUAUCCUAAUAAUUUUUGAAAAAUUUUUCAAGAACGAUAAUAAUCUUUAUGCUUCGGGUACUAACAUUUCCAUAUCUGAUUUAGACCUAACGAUCUGCCAAUGGUAUAUACAAACUCCAGGAUAACAGAUACUUUACAUUCCUGUGGUGAUACAUUUUUUUCCCAAGAAAUUCUUCAAUCAAGUAAUAGUCCUCUUCAAUCUAUGUGCAUAAAAUCACAGCGAUCGAAGAAUUUGAAUUUACCGGGCUCUUCGAUCGCAAAGGUACAUUCUGAACAUUUGCAUCAUUCUCAAAGCACGCAAACGAACUUACGGAUUUUAAAUAAAGCUGCUAAAUCAGAAGAAUGGGUUGUACGACGUACCAGAAGUGGUCAUAUUUAUGGAAAAUAUCCUGUAUAAAUGAUAAAAACGUUUUUCUAUUGUA
Vespa velutina is the source of this 1675-nucleotide RNA transcript. It is a transcript of the gene named 40S ribosomal protein SA, with no coding region annotated. The transcript has 8 exons. NCBI's taxonomy places the organism in Eukaryota, Metazoa, Arthropoda, Insecta, Hymenoptera, Vespidae. The record is from RefSeq and is a predicted model, not a curated record.